RNAcentral lists this ribosomal RNA (253 nucleotides) under uncultured bacterium. Its description in RNAcentral is "partial 16S ribosomal RNA". It matches the Rfam family "Bacterial small subunit ribosomal RNA", at positions 524 to 776 of the family's 1533-position model. The record is from RNAcentral.
UACGUAGGGCGCAAGCGUUGUCCGGAAUUAUUGGGCGUAAAGAGCUCGUAGGUGGUUUGUUACGUCUGCUGUGAAAACCUAGGGCUUAACCCUGGGCCUGCAGUGGAUACGGGCAGACUAGAGGUAGGUAGGGGAGAAUGGAAUUCCCGGUGUAGCGGUGAAAUGCGCAGAUAUCGGGAGGAACACCGGUGGCGAAGGCGGUUCUCUGGGCCUGUUCUGACGCUGAGGAGCGAAAGCGUGGGGAGCGAACAGG